GGAGCCGUGCCCAGGGCCAGCCUCCCCCAUGUUGACAAGCGACGCCCUGUCACUGAUUAAACAGGAGGAAGAGCACCAUGUGCAGGGUCAAGAUGCCUUGGAGGAAAGUCAAAUCGCAACCAACCCAUCACACCACAGCCUUGCUGCUGACGGGAUCGUGCUCAAAACACA
This is a non-coding RNA of Pelodiscus sinensis (Chinese soft-shelled turtle), 171 nucleotides long. Lineage: Eukaryota; Metazoa; Chordata; Testudines; Trionychidae. The record is from RefSeq and is a predicted model, not a curated record.